UACGUAGGGGGCGAGCGUUGUCCGGAUUUAUUGGGCGUAAAGAGCUCGUAGGCGGUUCGAUAAGUCGGACGUGAAAUCUCCACGCUCAACGUGGAGGGGCCGUUCGAUACUGUCGUGACUCGAGUCCGGUAGGGGAGUGUGGAAUUCCCGGUGUAGCGGUGAAAUGCGCAGAUAUCAGGAGGAACACCGGUGGCGAAGGCGGGUCUCUGGGCAACAACUGACGCUGAGGAGCGAAAGCGUGGGGAGCGAACAGG
Molecule: ribosomal RNA, 254 nt
Filed under: uncultured bacterium
Lineage: Bacteria
Description: partial 16S ribosomal RNA
Rfam family: Bacterial small subunit ribosomal RNA
Source: RNAcentral